UGCCUCUUGAGAACCUAUACAUACUACACCAGCAACGUUUUUAGCUAGUAUGGAAAUAAUAUGCAUUUUGCUACUUCUCAACUUAAGUUAGGGAAAACCCCACUAUAUACCCUCUCAAGGAUUUCCCCACCAGUCAACGAACUACUUGCUCACAAAAAUCCCAUUUUAGUAGCUUCUUGCUUGUCAUCAUCUUGGAUAAGCUAGUAUAUGACUCACUUCAUGGGUCCUUCUUAUAUAUACACGUAUAGGCUUAGAAGGGAUUAACGUAUGUUGAUAGCAGCAAUGGCACUGCAAUUUGAGGCAGCAAAGUGUAGUUCUUCUCAAGAACAAAAUACGGGUGUUGGGCACCGCUUUGAUCUCGUUGUUCGUUUUGCCGUGUUAUUGGAUUCGGGCUUUCUUCACAGUGAAGGAAGGCGGAAAAAGAGUAAUUAUUGGCAUAUAAGAUCUUGGGGAGCCCGAGAUUUGAGUCGGAAUUUGUUUAGCGAGCGAGCGAGGUAUGUAAAGCCUAACCUUCCUUUCUUUUGGCAUGACCUUUAUGGAACGAAUAAAUGACGUAUAUGUAUGACUCUAAAGAAAAUCCUAUUCUUAGAGCCACUAGGAUGGCUAACAUCUUUGACCUCCAUGAGCUAUUCCAUAUGGCUGGAUACAUAUUUUAUGAUGUUCAAAGAUUCUAUUUGUUAUGUUCCGGAUGUUGUUCGAAAGAAAAACGAGAAGACUAAAGCCUUUGAUGAAUAUUUCGAUAUGAAAAUAUGGUCUUAAGUCCCCAUUUGAUUUGAUCCAUAAUGUUAUCCACAAGUUUCCUAGUAUGAAUAUGUGAUCCACAAUGAUGUCCGAAAAAUAUUUGAUAUGGCCUAAGUUUGGAUAUGUAUAUUUUGGAUAUGUCCAUAUGAUUCUAAAGCUCCGUUUGAAGUGCUCCAUAAUGUUAUUUGAAAGCUUCUUAAUAUAAAUGGUACUCGAAUUUCUAAGUCAGAAAUAUUUUCAGAAGAUUCCGUACUUCGAAAGUUUGUAACUCUCUUAUAUUAAUUCCAAUUGACCCGAAUCUUAUUUUGAGCCUUCAGAUGUCUGUAAAAAUAUUUGGCUAUCGAGUUUGAAAGAAAUUUAUUUAUUUAUAUGCAUAUGGUUUCCGCACUACUCUGCUCGUGCCUACUACUAUGAUAUCGUUCGCCGGAUUCCGGGCCGGUUUUGUGAUCGUGCGCACUAUGAUAUAUUCGGCAGUAUGAUGUGUUACGAUUCCCGAGACCUCGCCAUAGGGCCGGGUUCCGUUUAUGGAGUUAUGCGUCGUGAUAUGGCUUAUGAUAUGUUGUGAUGAUGUGUUAUGUUCGGGGUUGUACGGAGAUUUGAAACCUUCUGGAGUUAUGCUGUGUUGUGGCACCCGGCGUCGGAGUGGUGAUCACGUUCCUGAGCCUUAUGCAUGAUUUUGAUUUGCAUUACUUAUACAUAUGCUUUCGGCACAGACUUUGAUAUACUGGUCCGGUAUUUACUUCCUGUACCCUUUUAUGUCAGUUAUGGUUUGGAUUUCUGUACUCUAUGCUUUACAUACUCAGUACAUAUUUCGUACUGACCCCCUUUCUUCGGGGGCUGCGUUUCAUGCCCGCAGGUACAGACGUUUGUUUUGGUGGUCCUCCGGUAUAGGAUACAUAUUCUGCCACUUGGAGUACUCCUUUUGAUCCGGAGCUCAUAUUUUUGGUACAUAUCUUCUGUUAUAAAUGUUUUGUAUAUAUAUAUAUAUAUAGCUAUUUGGGUACGGCGGGGCCCUGUCCCGUCAUAUGUUUCUGUUAUGUUUUGUAGAGGCCUGUAGUCAUACAUGUGGGUCAUGGGUCAUGUUUGUUUGUUUCUGUUUAUGAUCUGUGCCUUGAGCGGUCCCGGUUGCUGUUAUGGCCAAAACGGCCCAUAUGUUUGUAUAUGUUUGUAUAUCUGGGCGAUGUGUAUUCCGCCAGCCUACCGGAUUUGAUAUGGUAUUUCUGUACGGGCAACCGCUUAAGAUGA
Lycium ferocissimum is the source of this 1986-nucleotide long non-coding RNA. RefSeq lists it as uncharacterized. NCBI's taxonomy places the organism in Eukaryota, Viridiplantae, Streptophyta, Magnoliopsida, Solanales, Solanaceae. The record is from RefSeq and is a predicted model, not a curated record. The transcript has 2 exons.